CUCUCUCUCUGCCCUUUCCCCCCUCACGCUCUGUCUCUCUCUCUCUCUCUCUCUCAAAAAUGAAUAAACAUUAAAAAAAAAUUUUUUUUAAAAAGGUUUAGCAGAGUUGGCACAUAUCAGAGAUCCCUCACUCUUAAACAUAUCUAACUCCUUUCUUUGGAGACAGCUUGAUUGAGGCAUAAAUUACAUACCAUCAAAUUCACUUAUUAUAUAUGUAUCAUCAUGUGAUUUUUAGUAAAUUUAUAGACUCAUGCAACCGUCACCACAUUCCAGUCUUAGAUCAUUUUAUCACACCAAAAAGUUUCACCGUGCUCUUUUUCAGGCAACCCUUGCUCCCUUCCCAGUCCCAGGCAACCACUGAUCUGCUUUCUGUCUCUAUAUAAUUUGCCUUUUCUGGGCAUUUCUUAUAAAUGGAAUCCCAUGCUAUGUAGUCUUUUGCAUCUGGCUGCUUUCACUUAGCACGAUGUGUUUGAGGUCCAUGCAUGCUGCGGCACAUAUCACUAGGUCGUUCAUUUUUAUUGCUGAAUAGUAUUCUAUCUAAAUUCCCUCAAAAGUCAUUUAUGUUUUCAGACAACACUAAACAGGAGGCAGGAGCCCUGGUCUCCUACCCUGUGUCUGAUUUUCUGAGUGGCCUCUGACCACUUGUGUUGGGCAUUCAUUUCUCCAUCCGUAAAAUGAAAAAAAAUCUACUCUGUAUUUUCCACGGAGUGCCCCUAGGACCAGCAUUCCAAAAUGUCGAUGUCUCUGAUCCCACAUUUAUUUACCCUCUCCCUGUUUGAAGACUUCCACCAUAUCCUAUGUUGUUAAGGAUAAGGAAUCUUCAUCUUUAAAAAGCCUGCCCUUCCGGAGGCAAAUCCGAUUCCCAGAUUGGGGAACGAAGAACGGAGGAGUCAAUGUCAUCCGGUCCGAAAGAAGGCGAGUGAGCGAGCGAGAGAAGUAAGCCGGAAGACAGGAAGCGGUGGGCCGCAGCAAAGGAUGAAAUGUGUCAGUCACGGUACCGAAGGCCAGAGACGGAAGCACUUAGACAUUUACCUGGAAAUUCAGAGACAGUCCCCCAGAUACCAAGGAAUACGAAGAGCCGUCUAUUCUCUGAACAACUGCUACUGAGAAUCAGGUUCGGGAGGGUAAAAACGGCGAUCUGGAGUUCCCAUUCUUGUUGGUAACCAUGGCAAAAACGCUCCGGGUGAGGGUCAAGGUGUCCUGGAACUAGGGCUGGACAGCACCUUCAAAACUAGAAUGCUUCUCUUGGCUCUGAGGAUGCCAGCCUUCUCCUAAUUCAGUAAUCAGCAGGACAACACCUCCCUGCUGAUCCUCUGAUCGGCCAGAAUUCCCCACAGCCUUUUGCUCACGGUACUCCCUCAGACUCCUGCAACUUUUAAGACUCCAGGCCCUAGGGGGACUGCUCGGAGAGUGGCUGUACCUCUGACUCACUCCUGUAGGAAAAGUGACUCCCAUUCUUUGAGUCCUCGUUUGUUUGUGACAACUGUGGACCUCCCCAAAGUAGGUUGGGAUCAAGGAACCGAGCAUUUGCUGUUGGAGCCCUCUGAGGCAACUAAGUCUCCUAUAGAGGAGAAACGAUUUAUUGAUCUGCUUUGCGUAAGUAAUCCUCCACUCUUGCUGUUUUUGAGUGCCUGCCUCUGACCGAAAGGCCCUGAAGGCAGGAGCCACAUCAUGUCUCAAUCGGAAUAGCGUCUAGCCCAGGACCAUUUCGGCAUACAGGCUUCAAGGCCUGCUGGGUUGUGAGUUCCAGGGUGGGGAGCAUGUCUCCGAAUAUCACGGUCAUUCCUUAGUGCCAAGCUCUGUGCCUGGCACAGAGUCGUUGUCUGGAUACAUUUGUGACGAGUAAAUUAAUGAAUGACAAUCACGUGGACAAGGACAAUGGGGGGGACAGUCACAAAGGUUUUGUUUUGUUUUUGCAAGCUGGAAGACGCUUUGUAAGGCAUCGGCAAGAUAUGUGUAGCAUCACCCAGCCUCCCCAAAGCCAUAGUUUCUCUCAGUGGAGGAAAGAGACAAGAGUUUAUCUUCAGAUGAGGUCUUUAUCCUCACCAUCAAGCCCGUGCCAGGAGAAGCUAUCUGUGAUAGAAAAGGGAAUAAGAGACAGCUGCUUGGGUGUGAUACCUGAGUAAGGAGCGGACGGGGAUCUCCUAUGCCGGCCUUCUCACUCCUUCAGCUAGGUCAGCUUGAAUGUCGUCUGCCAACAACUUAUCAAGAAGGACCAUGACUCUCUGGCCUCAGAAGAUCCAAUUCUCCAGCUACACCAUCUCUGCUAGCUCUUCUUCCACUGUCCGGGCCCUCAUUUUCUGGUACCUCGGCUUUAGAACAAAAGUUAAACACCACGUCCUUGAGACUGCCCACAUUACCCUUCUCUCCAAGGGAAGAAUGCAUCUUCCAAUACUGUGCCAUUUUAUCUUUAGAACAACUCUUCGAGGUUAAUGGAACAGAGGUGAUGCUUGCAUAGAGAAAGGAAGCCACCUGCCCAAAGUAUUUCAAGCUUCCUCAUCCCAGGGCUUUAACCUCUAACACAUCCUGUAUGGCUCAACCAAUAAAAAUCACUCAUCAUCUCCUAAAA
Long non-coding RNA from Leopardus geoffroyi (Geoffroy's cat), 2569 nucleotides. RefSeq lists it as uncharacterized. The transcript is spliced from 2 exons. Lineage: Eukaryota; Metazoa; Chordata; Mammalia; Carnivora; Felidae. The record is from RefSeq and is a predicted model, not a curated record.